CUUCUGAAGAAGUUAACGCGUUUGAAUAUGGAUGGAAAUAAUUUGAUACAGAUUCCUUCAGAAUUGCCAUCUACAUUAGAAGAACUUAAAAUCAAUGAGAACAAUCUUCAGGCUAUUGACAAAGAAAGUUUAUCAGACUUAUAUCAACUGGUCACCUUAGAACUGGAAGGAAAUAAUCUCAGUGAAGUCAAUGUCAAUCCUUUAGCUUUCAAACCUUUGAAGAGCCUAGCCUACUUGCGUCUGGGAAAAAAUAAAUUUAGAAUUAUACCGCAGGGUCUUCCUGCUUCUAUUGAGGAAUUACACCUAGAAAAUAACCAAAUUGAAGAAAUAACUGAAAUUUGUUUCAAUCAUACCAGAAAGAUCAAUGUCAUUGUACUACGUUAUAACAAAAUUGAAGAAAAUAGGAUUGCUCCUCUAGCCUGGAUAAAUCAAGAAAAUCUAGAAUCCAUUGAUCUCUCGUACAACAAGCUCUAUCAUGUCCCCUCCUAUCUACCCAAGUCCUUGCUGCACCUCGUGCUCCUUGGGAACCAGAUUGAACGGAUCCCUGGCUAUGUGUUUGGUCAUAUGGAACCAGGCCUGGAAUACUUGUACCUGUCAUUUAACAAACUUGCUGAUGAUGGCAUGGACCGUGUCUCCUUCUACGGGGCAUAUCAUUCCCUGAGAGAAUUAUUUCUGGAUCACAAUGACUUAAAAUCUAUACCACCUGGGAUACAAGAAAUGAAAGCACUACAUUUUCUGAGGCUGAACAAUAACAAGAUACGGAACAUUCUUCCAGAAGAAAUUUGCAAUGCUGAAGAGGAUGAUGACUCAAAUCUGGAACAUCUUCAUCUUGAAAACAAUUACAUUAAAAUUAGAGAAAUACCAUCUUACACAUUUUCAUGCAUAAGAUCAUAUUCAAGUAUUGUUCUUAAACCACAAAAUAUCUAGUAAUUCCAAGUUUUCCUUUACUGUUUAUAAACUUUACUCAUGUAUUUGUAGUAGCUGCAUUUGUCAUUAACAAGAGAGACAUAAUCCUCCUGUUAUUCUCAGUAUCAUUAUAUGCUAGUCAAUCUGAUUCACUAAUACACAGAUGAACCACCAAAAUAUACCUAAAAGGCAUAGUCUCUAGGAGUUUUAUAAGGUAAAAUCUCUCAGUUUCCCACCUUUAGAAAGAGGCCAUCUCACUAGAAUUGGAUAUUAUGCGUACUGAGCUAGACCAGAAGAGUCUGGAACAAAAUAAACACAGCCUUUAUAAUCAACUUGAGUUCUGGUGUUAGCUGAGAACUCUGUAAGUCCCUUUAAAAAUUAUGUAUCUUUUGGUUCAAGAUUAAGAAGCAUAAUGACAAGAAAAAAAGCAGGCAGAAUUUAUGAAUAAGUGUUGUUUAUUAUUCUGUUAAAACAACAAUUUGUUAAUUUCUUGUAAGGCCCUGGGCUAUAAUUACUGGUAUAAAUAUAACUAAGUAUUGGGGUAGCUUUCAUUUCUUUCAUCAAUUACAUGUGUAAAAUGAAAACACUACUGUAAUGUUAAUUUCCGGUUUUGAAAAUCGUAUUACGGUUAUGUACAUUGUUAACAUUAAGGAAAGCUGGCAGAAGGGUGUGCAUGAAUUCUAUACAUUUUUGAAACUUUUCUAUAAUUCUAAAAUUAUUUUUUAAAGUUAAACAGUAUAUUAAGAUUACCUUCACCAUUCUUUACUCAAGAUUAAAAUAUUUUUUGAAAAGCAGUAGAGUUUGCUUAAAAUACAAGUUAACUAUUCUUGACUAUAACCUUGUAAAGGUAAAUCUAAUGUAUAAAUUUUUGCACCACUGGUCAUAGCAUCUAUCUCCUUUGCCUUAAUUUACUGAAAUAUAUCAUUUUAUUCCGUUCAAUUGAACAUAAAGCUAUGUCUUUACUAUGUAUUGGCCCUACCAAAACCAUAUAUUAAAAUUUUUUAACAUAAAAAAAAAAAAAAAAAAAAAA
Piliocolobus tephrosceles (Ugandan red Colobus) is the source of this 1936-nucleotide RNA transcript. It is a transcript of the gene named extracellular matrix protein 2 pseudogene, with no coding region annotated. Lineage: Eukaryota; Metazoa; Chordata; Mammalia; Primates; Cercopithecidae. The record is from RefSeq and is a predicted model, not a curated record. The transcript has a single exon.